GACGAACGCUGGCGGCGUGCUUAACACAUGCAAGUCGAACGGAAAGGCCCUGCUCUUGUGGGGUGCUCGAGUGGCGAACGGGUGAGUAACACGUGAGUAACCUGCCCUUGUCUUUGGGAUAACUCCAGGAAACUGCGGCUAAUACCGGAUAGGAGCUCCUGCUGCACGGUGGGGGUUGGAAAGAUUCGGCGGUUGGGGAUGGACUCGAGGCUUAUCAGCUUGUUGGUGGGGUAGUGGCUUACCAAGGCUUUGACGGGUAGCCGGCCUGAGAGGGGGGACGGCCACCUGAGGACUGAGAUACGGCCCAGACGCCUACGGGAGGCAGCAGUGGGGAAUAUUGCAGAACGGGCGGAAGCGUGAUGCAGCAACGCCGCGUGCGGGAUGACGGCCUUCGGGUUGUAAACCGAUUUCGCCUGUGACGAAGAGUGAGUGACGGUAAUGGGUAAAGAAGCACCGGCUAACUACGUG
Molecule: ribosomal RNA, 468 nt
Filed under: uncultured bacterium
Lineage: Bacteria
Description: partial 16S ribosomal RNA
Rfam family: Bacterial small subunit ribosomal RNA
Source: RNAcentral